RNAcentral lists this ribosomal RNA (490 nucleotides) under uncultured bacterium. RNAcentral describes it as "partial 16S ribosomal RNA". It matches the Rfam family "Bacterial small subunit ribosomal RNA", at positions 30 to 507 of the family's 1533-position model. The record is from RNAcentral.
AUUGAACGCUGGCGGCAGGCUUAACACAUGCAAGUCGAACGGUAACAUAAAGGAGCUUGCUUCUUUGAUGACGAGUGGCGGACGGGUGAGUAAUGCUUGGGAAUCUAGCUUAUGGAGGGGGAUAACUACGGGAAACUGUGGCUAAUACCGCGUAGAAUCGGGAGAUGAAAGUGUGGGACCUUCGGGCCACAUGCCAUAGGAUGAGCCCAAGUGGGAUUAGGUAGUUGGUGAGGUAAAGGCUCACCAAGCCGACGAUCUCUAGCUGGUCUGAGAGGAUGACCAGCCACACUGGGACUGAGACACGGCCCAGACUCCUACGGGAGGCAGCAGUGGGGAAUAUUGCGCAAUGGGGGCAACCCUGACGCAGCCAUGCCGCGUGAAUGAAGAAGGCCUUCGGGUUGUAAAGUUCUUUCGGUAGCGAGGAAGGCAUUUAGUUUAAUAGACUAGGUGAUUGACGUUAACUACAGAAGAAGCACCGGCUAACUCCGUG